Molecule: long non-coding RNA, 1029 nt
Organism: Ornithodoros turicata
Lineage: Eukaryota; Metazoa; Arthropoda; Arachnida; Ixodida; Argasidae
Exons: 4
Source: RefSeq, a predicted model, not a curated record
CUUUCCCAGGACAAUAAGCACCCAGGCGCAACGUGUGCACAAGUAGCACUGGGAUCUGUUGAAAUUGUCUAUUACCAGACUAAUAGUAAUGGGUGCCCUCAUGCAACUGCAGCUGCUACAAUGCUCAUUUUAGAGAUAACAAAGUAAAGUAGCACUCUGGACACAGGUGGACGAACGAGGACAGAUGCAGAGUGCUGCUCCAAUUCACUAUGCAUACGCAGCAACUACUCCAUUUCUACACUUUGGCCCUUUUCUAGGAAAAUAUGUUACAGCUUGCAUAACAACACCACAAGAUGUCAACGUGAGCGAAGACAAAAUGUGAAGGGCUUUGCCCUCUUUCCCAGAGAUAAUGAAGUAAAGUUGCACUCUGGACAUGGACAGACGAGCAGAAGACAGACACAGCUGCCAGCCCUCUGCCGACGUAACAUAUCUGCAAAACACCAACAGAUGCAGGUGUCCAACAUGUACUUCAAAAGCACAAGUACAAAUUUUCGGAACAUAUUGAUUCUUUUUAUCUACUUCAUGGAAGCACCGCAGAUAUAUUUACUCGGUGAGGAGCUACUACUUGUGUCUGUCGUCUUUUCCAUCAGUGUCUAGAGUGCAGCUUCACUUCACUGUGCAUAUGCGGUACCCCAUUUCUGCACUUCGGCCCUUAUAGGAAAUAGAUUUCAGCUUAUAUACAAACAUAAGUGGUGAUACUUCCUUCAGUUCUAUGAUGAGACUCAGCAAUUAAUACAUUAAACAACACAGGGAAUAAGUCAAAAUAUGCACACAAGGGUGCUAGUUAGUUUUACGUUCAUGAGGUCUAGUAAUCAAACAAAAUUGAAAAAAAAAAAAAAAAGAUACAUAUAUGUAUAAGCCGUCUGCCCACAAAAGUUCCACCCUGAUGCUUCGUAGUUUUCUUCUUUUUGUUUUCAGGUUUUUUUUUUCUUCUUCUUUUUUUCACAUCGCGUUUGCGCUGGGAAAGUAUAUCACUUCUAAUAUAGUCAGAAGUCAACCGUUCUGUGGAAAUAAAAAUGUAGAUCUGGU